AUUGAACGCUGGCGGAAUGCUUUACACAUGCAAGUCGAACGGCAGCACGGACUUCGGUCUGGUGGCGAGUGGCGAACGGGUGAGUAAUGUAUCGGAACGUGCCCAGUCGUGGGGGAUAACGUAGUGAAAAUUACGCUAAUACCGCAUACGGUCUAUGGAUGAAAGCGGGGGAUCGCAAGACCUCGCGCGAUUGGAGCGGCAGAUAUCAGAUUAGGUAGUUGGUGGGGUAAAGGCCCACCAAGCCAACGAUCUGUAGCUGGUCUGAGAGGACGACCAGCCACCCGGGAACUGAGACACGGUCCAGACUCCUACGGGAGGCAGCAGUGGGGAAUUUUGGACAAUGGGCGAAAGCCUGAUCCAGCCAUUCCGCGUGCAGGAUGAAGGCCCUCGGGUUGUAAACUGCUUUUGUACAGAACGAAAAGGUUUCUACUAAUACUAGGAGCUCAUGACGGUACUGUAAGAAUAAGCACCGGCUAACUACGUGCCAGCCGCCGCCGUAA
Molecule: ribosomal RNA, 500 nt
Filed under: uncultured bacterium
Lineage: Bacteria
Description: partial 16S ribosomal RNA
Rfam family: Bacterial small subunit ribosomal RNA
Source: RNAcentral